UUGGGGCUUGCUCCAAAAGUUAGUGGCGCACGGGUGAGUAACGCGUGGGAAUCUGCCCUAGAGUGGGGAACAACCUUUGGAAACGAAGGCUAAUACCGCAUAAUCCCUUAGGGGGAAAGGCUUCGGCCGCUCUUGGAUGAUCCCGCGUCUGAUUAGCUAGUUGGUUGGGUAACGGCUGACCAAGGCGACGAUCAGUAGCUGGUCUGAGAGGAUGAUCAGCCACACUGGGACUGAGACACGGCCCAGACUCC
This 251-nucleotide ribosomal RNA is filed under the name uncultured bacterium. RNAcentral's name for it is "partial 16S ribosomal RNA". It matches the Rfam family "Bacterial small subunit ribosomal RNA", at positions 73 to 339 of the family's 1533-position model. The record is from RNAcentral.